AGAGUUUGAUCAUGGCUCAGAUUGAACGCUGGCGGCAGGCCUAACACAUGCAAGUCGAGCGGAAACAGAAAGGUGCUUGCACCUUUGCUGUCGAGCGGCGGACGGGUGAGUAAUGCCUAGGGAACUGCCCAGUCGAGGGGGAUAACAGUUGGAAACGACUGCUAAUACCGCAUACGCCCUACGGGGGAAAGGAGGGGACCUUCGGGCCUUUCGCGAUUGGAUGUACCUAGGUGGGAUUAGCUAGUUGGUAAGGUAAUGGCUUACCAAGGCGACGAUCCCUAGCUGGUCUGAGAGGAUGAUCAGCCACACUGGAACUGAGACACGGUCCAGACUCCUACGGGAGGCAGCAGUGGGGAAUAUUGCACAAUGGGCGAAAGCCUGAUGCAGCCAUGCCGCGUGUGUGAAGAAGGCCUUCGGGUUGUAAAGCACUUUCAGCGAGGAGGAAAGGUUGUAGUUUAAUAAACUACAGCUGUGACGUUACUCGCAGAAGAAGCACCGGCUAACUUCGUGCCAGCAGCCGCGGUAAUACGAGGGGUGCAAGCGUUAAUCGGAAUUACUGGGCGUAAAGCGUACGCAGGCGGUUUGUUAAGCAAGAUGUGAAAGCCCCGGGCUCAACCUGGGAAUUGCAUUUUGAACUGGCAAACUAGAGUCUUGUAGAGGGGGGUAGAAUUUCACGUGUAGCGGUGAAAUGCGUAGAGAU
This 700-nucleotide ribosomal RNA is filed under the name uncultured bacterium. RNAcentral describes it as "bacterial SSU rRNA". It matches the Rfam family "Bacterial small subunit ribosomal RNA", at positions 8 to 697 of the family's 1533-position model. The record is from RNAcentral.